CUACGGGAUGCAGCAGUGAGGAAUAUUGCACAAUGGGGGGAACCCUGAUGCAGCAACGCCGCGUGGAGGAUGACGCAUUUCGGUGUGUAAACUCCUUUUAUAUGUCAAGAAAAUGACGGUAGCAUAUGAAUAAGCACCGGCUAACUCCGUGCCAGCAGCCGCGGUAAUACGGGGGUGCAAGCGUUACUCGGAAUCACUGGGCGUAAAGGACGCGUAGGCGUGUUGGAAAGUCAGGUGUGAAAUCCUACAGCUUAACUGUAGAACUGCACUUGAAACUUCUAAUCUAGAGUAUGGGAGGGGGAGAUGGAAUUAGUGGUGUAGGGGUAAAAUCCGUAGAUAUCACUAGGAAUACCUAAAGCGAAGGCGAUCUCCUGGAACAUUACUGACGCUAAGGCGUGAAAGCGUGGGGAGCAAACAGGAUUAGAUACCCCUGUAGUC
Molecule: ribosomal RNA, 438 nt
Filed under: uncultured bacterium
Lineage: Bacteria
Description: partial 16S ribosomal RNA
Rfam family: Bacterial small subunit ribosomal RNA
Source: RNAcentral